UNGGUGGGGAAUAACUGUUGGAAACGACAGCUAAUACCGCAUAAUAUUGCUGGAUAAUUUCCAGUAAUGAAAGGAGCUUUCAAGCUCCGCUGAUUGAUGAGGAUGCGGCGCAUUAGCUAGUUGGUAGGGUAAUGGCCUACCAAGGCAAUGAUGCGUAGCCGAUCUGAGAGGAUGAACGGCCACAUUGGGACUGAGACACGGCCCAAACUUCUACGGAAGGCAGCAGUAGGGANUUUUUCACAAUGGGCGAAAGCCUGAUGGAGCAAUGCCGCGUGACUGAUGAAGGUCUUCGGAUUGUAAAGGUCUGUUGUAAGGGAAGAAAUGGUAGAACAGGAAAUGGUUUUAUCUAUGACGGUACCUUACCAGAAAGCCACGGCUAACUAUGUGCCAGCAGCCGCGGUAAUACAUAGGUGGCAAGCGUUAUCCGGAUUUAUUGGGCGUAAAGGGUGCGUAGACGGUUUUGCAAGUCUGAGGUUAAAUUUAGGAGCUCAACUCCUAAUCGCCUUGNAAACUACAAGACUAGAGUAUAGGAGAGGUUAGUGGAAUUCCAUGUGUAGCGGUGGAAUGUGUAGAUAUAUGGAGGAACACCAGUGGCGA
Molecule: ribosomal RNA, 597 nt
Filed under: uncultured Spiroplasma sp.
Lineage: Bacteria; Bacillati; Mycoplasmatota; Mollicutes; Entomoplasmatales; Spiroplasmataceae
Description: bacterial SSU rRNA
Rfam family: Bacterial small subunit ribosomal RNA
Source: RNAcentral